GCCGGAGUGGCGGAAUUGGUAGACGCAGGGGACUCAAAAUCCCCCGACCUUCCCGGUCGUGCGGGUUCGAGUCCCGCCUCCGGCACCA
Molecule: transfer RNA, 88 nt
Filed under: Myxococcales bacterium
Lineage: Bacteria; Pseudomonadati; Myxococcota; Myxococcia; Myxococcales
Description: tRNA-Leu
Rfam family: tRNA
About the family: Transfer RNA (tRNA) molecules are approximately 80 nucleotides in length.
Source: RNAcentral